RNAcentral lists this long non-coding RNA (2192 nucleotides) under Equus caballus (horse). RNAcentral's name for it is "lncRNA (ENSECAG00000058385.1)". The record is from RNAcentral. Lineage: Eukaryota; Metazoa; Chordata; Mammalia; Perissodactyla; Equidae.
CAGGCAUGUGCGGUGGGGGGCAGGGGACCACCUGCCUCUGGUGUGUGCGUCCUGGUGGACGAGAGGCGACCUGUGGGUGUCUCUGUGUUCAAGUGUCCCUGUGCAAAUGUGUGUGAGGGCCAUGCUGUGGUUGCCAGCCCAGGGUUCCAGCGAGGACCUAACCCCAGAGCCCCUAUGUGGCCACCACCCCAGCCUGGCCUGGGCCCGGACCCCGAGCCAGGCGCUCCCUCCGGCCUGCCCACCCGGGUGCUUUUGUCCGUUUCUGAAGUGACAAGAGACACACAAAAGGGCUUUUAAUUAAAUCAAAGGAGGGGGAAACGGGCCAGCCGGGCCGCUAUUAUGUUACCAAAUGCGAAAAUGAAAACUUAUUUUUAAAGCUCUGGUAUUAAUUUGAGAUUAUUCAGAUAGUUAAUUAAAAGUGCAGCAUGUGUUAAAUAUUAUUUCAACAAAGAUUAUCAUCGGGCCUGCCUGUAAUGCGAUCUGCGGGCUGGGGAGCUGUAUGCAAAUGCCCUGCAGCGGGAGGAAGGGCCCACAGCGAGGCAGCAGCCAGCAGUGGACGGCCCAGCUCAGCUCGGGGCUGGCUCUGUCGGACUCAGAUGGAGCCUCAGCCAGGCCCCCAGGUCCAGGCCCUGGGUGUGCAGGGAGACCGCUGGAGCCGGCCAGGGCCUGCCAGCCAGCCAGCAGCAGGACCCCAAAAAGUCCUCCAGAUGGCCCUUGGGCCUCCAGGGGAUUCGGGCUGCACUUCCGUGCCUCGAAGGCGAGCACCCCUGCAGCCUACAACGAUCAAGGUAAGAAAUGCUCAACGGGAUGGCCCAGAUCCCGCCCCUCGCACGAAGCAGCCGCGCGCGCGUCCUUCGCGGGCCCGUGUCCCCGCGGGCGCCCGCACACACGCCCCGCCCCGAGAGCGCGCGGGCCGGCGCAGUUCACGGGCCGCUCCUGCCCUCUGUCGGCGCCCGGCGGCAGCGCAGCGCGCUCCUGGGCCGGCGGUUCGGCCCCUGGCACCGCGCGCCCGCUGCCCACCGCCGGGCAUCACCGGACCAAGACGUUUCCCACAGCGGGCUGCAAGGCAGGCAAGCCGACCCCCUUGUAAAGACGGCAGGGCAGAGGCUCAGAGAUGGCCAGUGACCUGCCCAGGGGCACACAGCAGGACCACAGGGAGGGACACCAGCUGAGGUUGGGACCCAGGUGUUAAGCACACUUCUGUGAGUCCCACUGGGUUCAAACCCUGGCUCUGCCCCUCAUUGCUGUGUGCCCUGAGACAGGUGACACCUCUCUGGAUCUCAUAAUUCUCAGGGUAAACUGGGGAUGACAGUAAUCCCUCUUCUUAGGAAGAUGUCACUGUUUUCAGCGCAUUCCUGGCACAUAUCCCAGGAGAGCAGGACCUUGCUUGUCUUGGCCACUCGGGUCCUUGGUCUGGCACAGGGCCUGAUAGGAAUGUGUUGACAGAAAGAAUAAAAACGCCGAGUCGAGUGGGACUGCGGACUGGUACAGCCACGCUGGACGACGGUUUGCAGAAGCCUGUCGGCCUCUCCGGCGGCGCUGGGAGGAGCCCUCUUUCUGCCCACUGCACAGAAGAGUAGACUGAGGCUUCGCGAGACGCCCAGCCGGAUGCGCGGGGGGCAGCCAGGAACAGAAGCCGGAGGCCUGCAUGCAGCCCCACCGCCGACCCACCAGAGACGAUUCUCAGGGCCGAGAGCGCGGCCCAGGGGUCUGAGCACGUUCCGAGUGUGAGCCCAUCACCGCAAUCCAACUUCAGAACAUCUGUCCCCAGAAAGCAACGCCACAUCCAGCAGCAGUCCUCCCACCCCCCUAGGUGCCCAGUGCCCAGCCACCACGAGCCUGCUGGCUGUACCCGUGGGACGACCUCUCCGCACAUUUCGUGCGAAUGGACAUCCCCCGCAUGCGCCCUUUGGUGUCCAGCUUCUCUCACUACGAUGACGUGCUCAGGGUCGCCCAUGCCUGGCCUGUGUCAGGAUUUCCUUCCUUUUUGUGGCUAAUAAUGAUCUGUUGUACGGAUUGACCACAUUUUGUUCGUCUGUAUAUGACAUUUGGGUCAUUUCCACCUUUUGGCUAUUAUGAAUCAUGCCGUGAACAUUCAUGUUUCUUGAGAUAUGAUCCACAUACUAUACGAUUCGCUCGUUUGAAGUGUCUAAUUCAACGGUUUUCCGUGUACUCACAGAGUGUAACAUCAU